GUGCCUAACACAUGCAAGUCGCGCGAGAAAGCCCCUUCGGGGGUAAGUAAAGCGGCGGACGGGUGAGUAACGCGUGGACAACCUACCCCGGGGUUGGGGAUAACCCUGCGAAAGCGGGGCUAAUACCGAAUACGCUGUUCUUUUCCUGGGUGAUUUGUUUCACCGAGGAAGGGAAUGGGAAAGGUGGCCUCUGUAUCAAGCUACCGCCCCGGGAUGGGUUCGCGUCCCAUUAGCUUGUUGGUGGGGUCAAGGCCUACCAAGGCGACGAUGGGUAGCCGGCCUGAGAGGGUGAUCGGCCACACUGGGACUGGAACACGGCCCAGACUCCUACGGGAGGCAGCAGUGGGGAAUCUUGGGCAAUGGGCGCAAGCCUGACCCAGCGACGCCGCGUGUGGGACGAAGGCCUUCGGGUCGUAAACCACUGUCAGGAGGGAAGAAAAGCAGUUUCCGAACAGGGAGCUGUGUUGACGGUACCUCCAGAGGAAGCACCGGCCAACUCCGUGCCAGCAGCCGCGGUAAUACGGAGGGUGCAAGCGUUAUUCGGAAUUACUGGGCGUAAAGCGCGCGUAGGCGGCAGCGCAAGUCAGAUGUGAAAGCCCUCGGCUAAACCGAGGAAUUGCAUCUGAAACUGCGUAGCUAGAGUUCGGGAGAGGGUGGCGGAACUCCCGGUGUAGGGGUGAAAUCCGUAGAUAUCGGGAGGAACACCAGAGGCGAAGGCGGCCGCCUGG
Molecule: ribosomal RNA, 728 nt
Filed under: uncultured bacterium
Lineage: Bacteria
Description: bacterial SSU rRNA
Rfam family: Bacterial small subunit ribosomal RNA
Source: RNAcentral